RNAcentral lists this unclassified non-coding RNA (276 nucleotides) under uncultured fungus. RNAcentral describes it as "sequence contains ITS1". The stretch from base 1 to 105 matches the Rfam family "5.8S ribosomal RNA", at positions 49 to 154 of the family's 154-position model. Lineage: Eukaryota; Fungi. The record is from RNAcentral.
UGAAUUGCGUUAAGAAUCACGAAUUACAGAUAUUAUGAGUGACAUGUUUUCGAUUGCAUAUUGCACCGUUGGGUCUUACCCAUCGGUAUAUCCAGCUCAGGGUGUGUUGACAGAAAGUGAACACUACAUGUAUUCACUAGACUCGUUGUACCGUCGUGUACAACGAAAAAGUAUCUUUAUGGGAAGCUUUUGGAUGUUCAAAGAAGAUUCUAGGAACAUUCAACUGUGAUCCAUUUGAAUUCACCUGAGCUGUGUAUGACUACCUGCUGAACUUAA